UACGGAGGGUGCAAGCGUUAUCCGGAUUCACUGGGUUUAAAGGGUGCGUAGGUGGGCAAGUAAGUCAGUGGUGAAAUCUCCGGGCUUAACCCGGAAACUGCCAUUGAUACUAUUUGUCUUGAAUACUGUGGAGGUCAGCGGAAUAUGUCAUGUAGCGGUGAAAUGCUUAGAUAUGACAUAGAACACCAAUUGCGAAGGCAGCUGGCUACACAAAUAUUGACACUGAGGCACGAAAGUGUGGGGAUCAAACAGG
Molecule: ribosomal RNA, 253 nt
Filed under: uncultured bacterium
Lineage: Bacteria
Description: partial 16S ribosomal RNA
Rfam family: Bacterial small subunit ribosomal RNA
Source: RNAcentral